Bombina bombina (fire-bellied toad) is the source of this 3035-nucleotide long non-coding RNA. RefSeq lists it as uncharacterized. The transcript has 2 exons. Lineage: Eukaryota; Metazoa; Chordata; Amphibia; Anura; Bombinatoridae. The record is from RefSeq and is a predicted model, not a curated record.
GAUUCUUCCACAUCAGUGAUGUGAAAAUCGUUGAUGCCUGAAGUUCAAAAGGUCAAGUAAAGUCGGGCAGCUUACUGUGAGAGCUCCCCCACUCUGCUCCCAGGGACUUCAGUCAAUGUAAUUCUCUUCAUUUUUGGACUGAAAAUUUACCCACAGAGGCCUGCUGUAAUUCCACUUCCUAUGCUGUUAAGGACAAGGGGAAUGCACAUCAUUGUAAAUACCAUUGAAACUGGUCGCAGUUCUGGUCACAACCUUCUCUCUCAACACUUUUGGGUGCAUGCUUUUAUUAAUAUAUUUCUAGUGCUUCCUAAAGAUGACCACUCGACGUACGACAUGCAUCCGCUCAAUAUUCCCUUGCAACGGGGCCCGAGUAGGAUCUUUUCUCUCAUUCUCGUCACAUUUGAAGUGGAUUCAUCCAUGAUACUGAACUGAAAUGUGCUACCCUGCCCCAAAUGUCGUCUCAGGGGGCGUUGUGACCUACCUUACAUUAAUUAACAUUACAGCUCCAGCUUUCAAAUGUUGCAAAAUAUCACACAUUUUCUGCUAAGCCUCAGGACCAGAGAUUUAUACACAUCGCUGAUCUUCCAUACAGACACAUGAAAUUUUACUACAACCAUACAGUAAAUACAAUUCCAGUUGUGCUUAACAGUGUAUAGCUAGAGCAUCUCCUUUUAUACUUUCAUAGACAAUGCUUGAGAAGUGGAUACUCCAUACAGACAUUAAAACUUUUUUAUUUAAUGAUGGCACUGAUGAAGCAAUUACACCAUAUUUGUAUAUACAUAUGUACAAACUUCCACUGUAUAUAAAGGUUUUUUUGAAAGCUCUUUACACAUUGAUAAAGUAAAGAAAUGUGGUCAGAUCUGUAGAAGGAAAAAAAAGGUACAUGGACAUAACAUUGUAAGACAGUACAGGUAAAUAAUACAUAAUAAAACAUAUCUUAGUUUGUGUUCUUUAGAAUUGUGUUUCUGUGCUUUAUAAAUUAACUGUAGCAUUUGGCACAUUCCUGAUAAUGGAUGCAGAUUCAGCUAAGAAUUCAUCGUUUAAUUAACAGGGCAGCUAAGGAGGCAUUAGACAACAUGACUUUAGAGUGCAUACUUAAACUAAAUUAUUGCACUUUAAAGAAUAUAUCAGUUAUAUUUGCACAUUUUAUUUCCAUGUUAGCUAUUUACACUUGUACCCACGGUUCAUAGAAGCUGCUAUGCUGUUAGGACGUCCAUAUGUGCAACUGUUAAACAGUCAAAUAUGUCACCUCUGGUGCAGGGGAAUGUUCACUGACUAUGCAGACUCAUACUGGUGAUGUCACACUUUUGUCUUUACUGAGCAUGAGCAGCUGCCCAGUCGUGUACUCACAAAUCUAGUAAAAUACCCUAUGACAAUCCCUAUGAACUGAGGGAGGAGUGUAUUUUGAUGAACUCAUGGAGAGUACACACCAGAAAUACAUAAGUUGCGUCAAGCAAACAUAACAGACAUAUAACGUUUAAUUAUUCCAAGUUUUAGUUAUUAUGUAAUCUCUCAUUAUUAGGCAAUGGCCUCUAGUUAUCAAGGUCUGGUGGACCUGAUCCAACACUGCGGAUCAGGUCCGCCAGACCUUGCUGAAUUUGCCGUAUUCAGCAUUGCACCAGCAGCUCACAACAGCUGCUAGUGCAACGCCGCCCCCUGCAGACUCGCGGCCAAUGGGCCGCCAGCAGGGGGGUGUCAAUCAACCCGAUCGUACUCGAUCGGGUUGUAUUGUGGCGAUGUGUGUCCGCCUGCUCAGAGCAGGCAGACAGGUUAUGGAGCAGCGGUCUUUGUGACCGCUGCUUCAUAACUGCUGUUUCUGGCGAGCCUGCAGACUCGCCAGAAACACGGGGCAUCAAGCUCCAUUCGGAGCUUGAUACAUAUGCCCCAAUGUCUCCUUAAAGGAGCACAAAUUAUAAAUAGUCCCAGCACUGAACACAAUUUUUCUUAGUUCCAAUCUUGUGGUAGGUGCACGUAGCAGGGGUUACGGCAUUCCCCUCUCAUAUAGAGCAUCAAUCCAUAAAUUAAAGCCACAGAACCACAAAUAUCUUCAAAGGAUAUUACCUUUAUUCAAAAGAAAACGUGAAAUUUUGGCCUCCUAAGCCUCAAUCAUGCAAAUUGCAUGAUUAGGGCCUAUGAGGCCUAAAUGUUGCAUGUUUUCUGUUGAAUAAAGAUAAUAUCCUUUGAAGAUAUUUGUGGUGCUAUGGCUUUAUUUUAUUAAAGGGUCACAAAUGUGCAAUAGUGCAUUUUAAAUUAAAGUCGAAAUAUGUUUGCAAUAAAGUUGUGUUUGUUAAAAUGCUUCUUUUAAAAGUAGUGACUGAUUUUGUGAAUACUUUUACAAUGUACACUAUCAGUACCCACUGCUAGUACAAGGCCUGCUGUGAGUAUGCACAUUCUCCCUCUGUUUAAUUUGCUACAUAGCUUCAUCAGGACUUGGCGCAUGUGCAGGAGGAAGAUACAUGUAGCCUACUGCAAUAUCACCAGGAGGUGACAUGCAUGAUAUGAGUUAUCACUUAAAGCAGUCAAAACUUUUAAAUUAAUCCAUUUUUCCAAACACAGUUAGAUUAGUCCCCUUUAUGAUUUUGUUAGUAAUCAGAUCACAUUUAGAACUAACAAGUUGAUAAUCUUUUUCAAAUCUAUUGACUCUGCUCUUUCUAAAACACAAGAUGUUGUGCCUUGGAUACAACCGCUAAAAACAUAUUGAAUAAUGUCAUAGGCUCUGAUAUUAUGAAUUAAAUCAAUUAUUCAUAGCCAUCACCAUUUUUGUUGUCAAUCUGUGACAAUUUAUGGGAGGAAAAAAAAACAGAAGCACAGUUCAAAGAAAUAAAUAAAAGAUUAGGCAUGUAUUGUUAGUAACAAUGUAUAUGGUCUUACAAUAAUGAGUUUCAUGCUCAUUUCUGUACAAAAUAUAAACUACAAUGUAUAAUGAAUUCUUCGCUAUGUCCAGACUGGAAAGCCUUAGUCACCUACUGAAAUAAACAAAUCUGUGUGUAUAUAUCAUAGGAUAGAAGUAAAAGUAUUAAAGCAAUAUCAAUCUA